AUGGACCAAUCCAUCCCUUUUUCCCGUGCAUAUGCAUCGGACUCGGAUGACGAUGGUCCCGAUGAAGAAGUUGAUGAGGAGGGGUUCACGCCGAAGGAGGCCCAAGCAUUCAAGAAGGUAUUCGGGCGGGAUCACAAGACACUAUUGUUCAAGGAUCUUAGUCUCGCGGAUGAAGCCGUUGUGGAUGGUGGCAAAUGCAUUUCUCUUGGAGCUAGGCCAAGUUCUCACCGUGAUUUGGAAGACGGCAAGAACGGGAUAUAUCCCGGUUGUGAGUUUGAAUCCUUCUUGGAAUUGAAGAUGUGGCUCGACAACUACUCGGUUACACAUUAUCGUCCACAUAAAGUGGCCAACUCGGACGUCAAUGUGCGUUACACGGUCAAAUGUGAAGUGCCAAGAUGUCCAUGGAUUGUGCGUGCGAGGCCAUGGAAAGGAGGUCCCAUUUGGCGCAUAGUGAGUUGUCUAUCAACUCACAUGUGCCGGCACAAGAAUGCGGAUGGCGAGCUUGUGUACCAACAACACAGACAACUCACGUCUGAGUUCAUUGCUUACAGGUUAUCCAACCAAAUAUCCACACUUCAAAUAAUGAGCAUCAAGAGUGUCAUUGACCUUGUGAAAGCCAUCUUUCAUUACAAGGUGAAGUACGGCAAGGCAUGGAAGGCGAAGCAAGCCGCAUUCAAGAUGCUGUAUGACAAUUGGAAGGAAGCAUACAACCGACUCCCUAGGUUGUUGUUAGCUAUGGCCGCCACAAACCAGCCAUGGUUCACGUGGUUGAGCCUCAUGGGCACCAAACUUUGA
RNAcentral lists this ribosomal RNA (795 nucleotides) under Triticum aestivum (bread wheat). RNAcentral's name for it is "partial small subunit ribosomal RNA". The record is from RNAcentral. Lineage: Eukaryota; Viridiplantae; Streptophyta; Magnoliopsida; Poales; Poaceae.